GUCCCUGUAGCUCAGCAGGAUAGAGCAACUGCCUUCUAAGCAGUGGGCCGGGCGUUCGAAUCGCCCCAGGGACACCA
This 77-nucleotide transfer RNA is filed under the name Dehalococcoidales bacterium. Its description in RNAcentral is "tRNA-Arg". It matches the Rfam family "tRNA". From Rfam's summary of the family: Transfer RNA (tRNA) molecules are approximately 80 nucleotides in length. Their secondary structure includes four short double-helical elements and three loops (D, anti-codon, and T loops). The record is from RNAcentral. Lineage: Bacteria; Bacillati; Chloroflexota; Dehalococcoidia; Dehalococcoidales.